This 442-nucleotide ribosomal RNA is filed under the name uncultured bacterium. Its description in RNAcentral is "partial 16S ribosomal RNA". It matches the Rfam family "Bacterial small subunit ribosomal RNA", at positions 338 to 795 of the family's 1533-position model. The record is from RNAcentral.
CCUACGGGAGGCAGCAGUAGGGAAUCUUUCACAAUGGGCGAAAGCCUGAUGGAGCAAAGACGCGUGCAGGAUGAAGGCCUUCGGGUUGUAAACUGCUUUUAUAAGCGAGAAAUAUGAUGGUAACUUAUGAAUAAGGAUCGGCUAACUACGUGCCAGCAGCCGCGGUCAUACGUAGGAUCCGAGCAUUAUCCGGAGUGACUGGGUGUAAAGAGUUGCGUAGGUGGCAUAAUAAGUAGCUAGUGAAAUCUGGUGGCUCAACCAUUCAGACUAUUAGCUAAACUGUUAAGCUCGAGACCGUUAGGGGUAACUGGAAUUUCUAGUGUAGGAGUGAAAUCCUUAGAUAUUAGAAGGAACACCAAUAGCGUAGGCAGGUUGCUGGGACGGUUCUGACACUAAGGCACGAAAGCGUAGGGAGCAAACGGGAUUAGAUACCCUAGUAGUC